GACGAACGCUGGCGGCGUGCUUAACACAUGCAAGUCGAACGGUAAGGCCUCGUUCUGGGGGUACUCUAGUGGCCAACGGGUGAGUAACUCGUGAGUAACCUGCCCGUGACUUUGGGAUAACUUCAGUAAACUGGGGCUAAUACCUGAUAGGUGCUCCUGCUGCACGUAGGGGGUUGGUAAGAUUCGGCCGUUUGGGUUGGACUCGCGGCUUAUCAGGUUGUUUGUGGGGGAUUGUGUUACCAAGGCUUUGACGGGUAGCCGUCCUGAGAGGGUGGACGGCGACAAUGGGACUGCGAUACGGAGCAGAAGCCUAUGGGAGGCAGCAGUGGGGAGUAUUGCCCAAUGGGUGGAAGCCUGAGGAGGCGACGCCGUGUGCGGGAUGACCGGUUUCGGGUUGUGAACGGCUGUCGCUCAGGAAGACGCUUUGUGUGACGGUAGUGGGUAAAGAAGCAACGGCUAACUACGUG
This 467-nucleotide ribosomal RNA is filed under the name uncultured bacterium. RNAcentral's name for it is "partial 16S ribosomal RNA". It matches the Rfam family "Bacterial small subunit ribosomal RNA", at positions 28 to 507 of the family's 1533-position model. The record is from RNAcentral.